Molecule: long non-coding RNA, 588 nt
Filed under: Gallus gallus (chicken)
Lineage: Eukaryota; Metazoa; Chordata; Aves; Galliformes; Phasianidae
Description: long non-coding RNA NONGGAT008193
Source: RNAcentral
CAGGUACAGGUCAGCAAGCCUUUGCCCAUGCUGGAUGCUAGGCAGGGACCUUUGUUUUGUGGCAGGGUACCAGCCCUCCCUGCCCAGCCACGUGAGCAGCCAUUGGGUUUCACACAAACUUGGCAUUAAAUCAUUGAAAAGCCAAUGGAAUAGGGCCAACCCUUUGCGCACCGUUGAUUCACUCAUGGCUUAAGGCUGUCGGAGAGCGGAUGUGGGCGCUGGGGGAGCCUGUCAGGAAACGCCCGUGGCGCCGGGCUGCUCGCUGCCACCUGGCCUGCAGGCCUCGGGCCGGCACCAGGCCGACGCGGCCCAAGGCCGGGACACAGGAAGCCUCAGCUUCCUCAGCCCAAGAGGAGGAGAGGCCGGCAGGGCCCCCGCCCCCGGGCGGUGCCUCCUCCCCCAGCGCUCCAUCCCGUGGGCCUCGUCGGCCGCCGUCCGCCCGCACCAGGUGAACGCGUAUCCCUCCGCGACGGCCGCCCCCAGCUCUAGGCUCGCAGCUCCGCAGUCCCCGGAUGGAAACUGUUAUGGCCGCCAACAGCGACCCGCCGGGCUAUGGUGACGGGCGAGACCUCUUUUCAGUAUUCUUCC